AGUGAACGCUGGCGGUAGGCCUAACACAUGCAAGUCGAACGGCAGCACAGUAAGAGCUUGCUCUUACGGGUGGCGAGUGGCGGACGGGUGAGGAAUACAUCGGAAUCUACUUUUUCGUGGGGGAUAACGUAGGGAAACUUACGCUAAUACCGCAUACGACCUACGGGUGAAAGCAGGGGAUCUUCGGACCUUGCGCGAUUGAAUGAGCCGAUGUCGGAUUAGCUAGUUGGCGGGGUAAAGGCCCACCAAGGCGACGAUCCGUAGCUGGUCUGAGGGGAUGAUCAGCCACACUGGAACUGAGACACGGUCCAGACUCCUACGGGAGGCAGCAGUGGGGAAUAUUGAACAAUGGGCGCAAGCCUGAUCCAGCCAUACCGCGUGGGUGAAGAAGGCCUUCGGGUUGUAAAGCCCUUUUGUUGGGAAAGAAAAGCAGCAGGUUAAUACCCCGCUGUUCUGACGGUACCCAAAGAAUAAGCACCGGCUAACUUCGUG
Molecule: ribosomal RNA, 492 nt
Filed under: uncultured bacterium
Lineage: Bacteria
Description: partial 16S ribosomal RNA
Rfam family: Bacterial small subunit ribosomal RNA
Source: RNAcentral